This 72-nucleotide transfer RNA is filed under the name Neotoma lepida (desert woodrat). It matches the Rfam family "tRNA". From Rfam's summary of the family: Transfer RNA (tRNA) molecules are approximately 80 nucleotides in length. Their secondary structure includes four short double-helical elements and three loops (D, anti-codon, and T loops). Lineage: Eukaryota; Metazoa; Chordata; Mammalia; Rodentia; Cricetidae. The record is from Rfam by way of RNAcentral.
GGGGAUGUAGCUCAAUUGUAGAGCUUUCACCUAGCACAGCCAGGGUCCUGGGUUCAAGGCCCAGCACCACCA